AAUUAUUGAGCUUAUGGAUCACGAAUAUAGGAAAAAUAAUCAAGUGCAUUAUCUCUUACAACCUUUUGAGUUGAGUAAAAAAAAUAUUGAGUCUUCUUUUAAUAGUCCAAAAUAAUCAAAGCAUCAAGCAAAGUUGAUAGUCAUUCAUUCCAAAUUUGAAGGUACUAGGAAAUGGCAUCGUUAGUUGAAUAAAGCAUGAUAAUGAUUUAAGUAAGUACUCAAAAUUUAGGUCGUAGAAAAUGGGGAAGGAAUCCAAAUUGCAACACUUCAAUUUGUCGUUAUGCUAAGAAGAAUUUGUCAAUAAUAGAGAGUAGAGAGGAAAAAGAUUCCAUUAUUUUCUAUUGUAACACACACAAUAGGAUAUUUUUUUACUAUAUAAAUCGAAUAAAGCAUAAUACAAAGAAAGAAGAAAAACCUAGUAUUAGAUAACUAGUUUUAGUGGGAAAAAUAGAUCACAAGUUGUUAUUUAACUUUUCCGUAGGAACUUUAAACAAUAAAUGAAUAGUUAAUCAAUUUAAAACCUAGUACUACUAUUUUGGACUAAACAAUUAGUUUGAAAAUUCCCUCUUUUUAAAAUUAAUUUUUUUUUUAUAAGAUGUGUUGCAAUAUUUCCCUACAACAAGACUGCAUAUUUAAAUUCUCUAUAAAACAAAGGCUGCAUAUAAUUGGUAUAAUAUAAUAAUUAUUGCAUAUAAGGUUGGUUUCAUGGAAGAUGGAGAAGUUAAUGAGUUAGAUGAUUUUUUGAUACAAAAAGAGUUAGGUGAUAAGAAGGUCAAAUGUUAAAUCAUCACUUUGUCAUGUAUUUUUUUUUUAACAAUACCCGUUAAAAAAAUGGUAUGCAAUAAAACAUAUUUCGACUUAAACAAUCAAUAUAACUGAAGUUGCACCCUUUUAUAGAGUCUGCAAACUUUUCUCCUUCUGUUAAAAAAUACGUCUGUUAUAUUUUUUUUAAUAUUAACCAACAAGUUUUUUUUCAUAGUAAUUUCAAACAAGUUCUAAAUUUAAGAAAAAAAAAAUAGAAAAAGAGAGAGUUUGCAUUUAUCUUAUUCAUUCAUGUUGUUUGCUCGACAUCAUGGUAUGGAUCUGGAAUGCAAUAAUAAUUGGCUGUAUUAUAUAAUAAAAUCAUAUGUAUAAGGUUAUGUGGCGUAGGAAGACGCAUGUGGUGGAGUCACUGAAAAUGACUAUAGUUUAUAAAUUUAUUAAACAAUAAUCAUAUAAUUAUUUUUCUUAAUAUGACCCAUUGAAACGUAGCCCAAAUAUAAUGUUUUUCUUAACCCUCGUUCUCUUUAUUUUUUAUUUUAUAUAAUUUUCUUAUCCAUCAUUGUACAUAAUUAAAUAAACAAUGUAAAUGACGUAGCUAAUAGCUAUGUUACCUAGUAAAACAUAAAACAUUAUAAAAUAAAAUGAUGAUAUAACUUUCGUUGGUUUGGUGCCUUCAAACAAGUAAUCACCAUCAUGCCCUCAUCAUAAUCACUUAAAAAAACACAAAAAAAGACCUAAAAAAUUAAAGUGUGCGGCAACACGAUGCAGUGUCGUGUGUAAAAGCAACGAAAUUAACCACAAAUAAUAUUUUCUUAUAGACAAUUAAAAAAUAUUAUAAGGUGGAUUUGGAGUUUUAAUUUUCUUUGGACAAUGACUUUGAAUUAUCAAUUAGUGGAUAAUAACCAUGGUUAGAAUUAUGGUUUAGAUAAUCCAAUAGGG
RNAcentral lists this long non-coding RNA (1701 nucleotides) under Medicago truncatula (barrel medic). Its description in RNAcentral is "long non-coding RNA (MTRU_LNC000735)". Lineage: Eukaryota; Viridiplantae; Streptophyta; Magnoliopsida; Fabales; Fabaceae. The record is from RNAcentral.